Molecule: ribosomal RNA, 119 nt
Filed under: Helianthus annuus (common sunflower)
Lineage: Eukaryota; Viridiplantae; Streptophyta; Magnoliopsida; Asterales; Asteraceae
Source: RNAcentral
GGUUGCGAUCAUACCAGCACUAAUGCACCGGAUCCCAUCAGAACUCCGUAGUUAAGCGUGCUUGGGCGAGAGUAGUACUAGGAUGGGUGACCCCCUGGGAAGUCCUCGUGUUUCAACCC